GACCGCGUAGCUCAGUUGGCAGAGCAUUGGGCUGGUAUUCCAAAGGUGGUAGGUUCGAUUCCCACCGUUGCCA
RNAcentral lists this transfer RNA (73 nucleotides) under Paramuricea clavata. It matches the Rfam family "tRNA". Rfam says of the family: Transfer RNA (tRNA) molecules are approximately 80 nucleotides in length. Their secondary structure includes four short double-helical elements and three loops (D, anti-codon, and T loops). Lineage: Eukaryota; Metazoa; Cnidaria; Anthozoa; Malacalcyonacea; Plexauridae. The record is from Rfam by way of RNAcentral.